UUAAGCUGCAACUGGAUUGUUGAUCUUCAUUCGAGAGAGAAGAAGCCUUUGGUUCCCUGGAAUCACCUUAUUUGGUGUACUCCAUACGCCUCCCCUUCCUCGUAACGGGUAUCAAGCAUCAAUUGGAUGUCUCGAGCAUGGGAAUGGAGCUGUAAUGUCUUUAUUGUGUAAUUGAUAGCAACAGCCAGGAAAUCAAUAGCUCCGCUUUGCUUUCGUUCUGGCAUUGUUCCAUAACUUAGUAGAAAUUGUCAGGUUAGUUGAAGGAAGGUAAUAUUUGUCAAAAAUAUGAGGUAAUAAUCUUUUUGUUCUUAUUGAUCUUGAAUGAUAACCAACUCUAUUAUAAAUAGAGUUGUACAAUUAGGGUUAGAGUCCAAGUCCUUAUAGGAAAAGACUACUAGAGUCCAAAAUGAUGUAUGGGAUAUGAUGGAUGCUGUGUUUAGAUAUGAACUCCAAUCUUCUCUGUGUUUUUCCUGCUUGCCUUUCCUUGUUGAUUUGUUGCAUGAACUGAUGGUUGACAUUUUCGAUCUUUUUGUUGUUGCUUCUAAUUAGGAUCGUACAUAUGCGAUGGUGGGCUUCUUGUCUAUGACAUGUAGCAGUUCUGUUCUACUAUAGGCCAAGAAACAGUGAUAGAAUUUUGGUGAAGGAGACUGGGAAUUUAAUUUUUGGUAUGACAGGAAAAAGAAGAGAUAAACUUAAGCUGCAACUGGAUUGUUGAUCUUCAUUCGAGAGAGAAGAAGCCUUUGGUUCCCUGGAAUCACCUUAUUUGGUGUACUCCAUACGCCUCCCCUUCCUCGUAACGGGUAUCAAGCAUCAAUUGGAUGUCUCGAGCAUGGGAAUGGAGCUGUAAUGUCUUUAUUGUGUAAAUGAUAGCAACAGCCAGGAAAUCAAUAGCUCCGCUUUGCUUUCGUUCUGGCAUUGUUCCAUAACUUAGUAGAAAUUGUCAGGUUAGUUGAAGGAAGGUAAUAUUUGUCAAAAAUAUGAGGUAAUAAUCUUUUUGUUCUUAUUGAUCUUGAAUGAUAACCAACUCUAUUAUAAAUAAAGCUGUACAACUAGGGUUAGAG
RNAcentral lists this long non-coding RNA (1061 nucleotides) under Linum usitatissimum (flax). Its description in RNAcentral is "long non-coding RNA (LUSI_LNC006897)". Lineage: Eukaryota; Viridiplantae; Streptophyta; Magnoliopsida; Malpighiales; Linaceae. The record is from RNAcentral.